AUGAGAAUACACAGCAAUGAUCAGGAUAGGAAGUGUCAAGGGUACCAAGAAGCAGUAAUACCUGUUAUUAUAAAAUAAACUGUCGUUUUGAAUAGCAGAGAUGAUAGGACUGUCCGAUAAUGGAGGAAGCUUUGAUAUUACUGCCGCGGAUAGAAAUCCCACAAAAGAAACGGAACCGAUCAAGACAAGCAACCAUCCACUAAACGUUGCCGUUUUGCUGAAUUCCAUUCGAUAA
This is a long non-coding RNA of Populus euphratica (Euphrates poplar), 235 nucleotides long. RefSeq lists it as uncharacterized. Lineage: Eukaryota; Viridiplantae; Streptophyta; Magnoliopsida; Malpighiales; Salicaceae. The transcript has 2 exons. The record is from RefSeq and is a predicted model, not a curated record.